Molecule: long non-coding RNA, 1143 nt
Organism: Papaver somniferum (opium poppy)
Lineage: Eukaryota; Viridiplantae; Streptophyta; Magnoliopsida; Ranunculales; Papaveraceae
Exons: 5
Source: RefSeq, a predicted model, not a curated record
AUAGAGAUUUUGUGGAGGUGUUCAUCAAAUCAAUCACUAAGAAAAGGAGAUACAGUAGCUAUUCGUUUUUUGUUCAUAGUAAAAAAAAGUGGUCUUUGUUCCACUAAAGCUACAAGAGUUAUUCUUCUUUGUUCAAGUUGUAGCAACAAUCCGUGAUUGACAUCUAUAAAAUUUGUUCUUGGAGUUAGCUGCUGGGAUUAGCGAAAAAGUCACGAUGAUGACGACUCGGAAAGCAUCGAAAGAUUAGAUGUUGCAGCUGAUGAUGUACUCGGAGAUGAAAAUGGGAUUGAUUCAAAACUGUUCUAUAAAAGACAACCUUUCCAGGUUAAAUGCCUCAUGUGAAUGUCUAACAAUGCCUUAUGUACCCUGAUUGACAUAUUAAGUCUCACGGGGUCCCUAUCAGUCUAUCAGCCAUACCCCUGUAAGGUAGUAGGUAGUCGCGAACAAAGGCAGCUUGACCAGUGUACCGGUGCAGAUACGGCAGGAAAAAUAUCUCAUUGCUGGAAGCAGUGUUUGAAUUCCUUCUCAUUUUUGGAUUCACUGUGUUAGUGCCCUUGAUGGUGUAGCAUGUAAAGUAUCUCGAACCUCAGAGAAGAUUAGCUUCUAAAGCUGUGUGCGCAAGGAUUACAAAUUAACGAAUCUCGCUUGGAGGGUACACAUGAAAAGGCGCUGACGGUGGCAGUGGCAGAGGCGGUGAAAAGAAGAAGAAUCAUUCAAAAAAAAGGUGGUGUCACUGGUGGAGGCGGUGAAAAAACUGGUCUCGGUUUAGCUAAUAAUAAGAAAGAUGUUUUUGUGGCUAGAUGCAGACAUUGCAGGAGGUGUGUUCGAAUCAUCCCGGAACCAGAACAAAAUGGUAUGGGUUUAUCUAAUAAGAAGGAUGAGAAUUUGUCCGUGGUGAACAAACAUGUUGGUUCACUUUGAUUCACAUUGCAUUGUCUCCACUGCGAUGUUUUCGAUAUAAUUUUUUGUUGCUAUCCAGGGUUUUGAGAGUGGUAUAGCUGCUCUAGAUACCGGUGUUUUUGCAUGGGAAACAACUCUAUAUACCUGAUUCUAUUGCAGACCAGUUCUGUUAGAGAAAAGGCUAUAAACCACACCAGAUUAUAUUACAUCUAUAUAACAAGUACAGUUGAAUGAGUUAGAUCA